RNAcentral lists this ribosomal RNA (164 nucleotides) under uncultured bacterium. RNAcentral's name for it is "partial 16S rRNA". It matches the Rfam family "Bacterial small subunit ribosomal RNA", at positions 355 to 511 of the family's 1533-position model. The record is from RNAcentral.
UAGGGAAUCUUCCACAAUGGACGAAAGUCUGAUGGAGCAACGCCGCGUGAGUGAAGAAGGGUUUCGGCUCGUAAAACUCUGUUGUUAAAGAAGAACAUAUCUGAGAGUAACUGUUCAGGUAUUGACGGUAUUUAACCAGAAAGCCGCGGCUAACUACGUGCCAC